GGUAAUACGUAGGGCGCAAGCGUUGUCCGGAAUUAUUGGGCGUAAAGAGCUCGUAGGCGGCUUGUCACGUCGGGUGUGAAAGACCGGGGCUUAACCCCGGUUCUGCAUUCGAUACGGGCUAGCUAGAGUGUGGUAGGGGAGAUCGGAAUUCCUGGUGUAGCGGUGAAAUGCGCAGAUAUCAGGAGGAACACCGGUGGCGAAGGCGGAUCUCUGGGCCAUUACUGACGCUGAGGAGCGAAAGCGUGGGGAGCGAACAGGAUUAGAUACCCUGGUAGUCCACGCCGUAAACGGUGGGAACUAGGUGUUGGCGACAUUCCACGUCGUCGGUGCCGCAGCUAACGCAUUAAGUUCCCCGCCUGGGGAGUACGGCCGCAAGGCUAAAACUCAAAGGAAUUGACGGGGGCCCGCACAAGCAGCGGAGCAUGUGGCUUAAUUCGACGCAACGCGAAGAACCUUACCAAGGCUUGACAUAUACCGGAAAGCAUUAGAGAUAGUGCCCCCCUUGUGGUCGGUAUACAGGUGGUGCAUGGCUGUCGUCAGCUCGUGUC
Molecule: ribosomal RNA, 548 nt
Filed under: Streptomyces flavovariabilis
Lineage: Bacteria; Bacillati; Actinomycetota; Actinomycetes; Kitasatosporales; Streptomycetaceae
Description: bacterial SSU rRNA
Rfam family: Bacterial small subunit ribosomal RNA
Source: RNAcentral